GACGAACGCUGGCGGCGUGCCUAAAACAUGCAAGUCGAGCGGGGUGAGCUGAACUGGCGCGAGCCAGGGAGGCUUACCCAGCGGCGGACGGGUGAGUAACGCGUGAGCAACCUGUCCUCGAGACCGGGAUAACAGCUCGAAAGGGCUGCUAAUACCGGAUGAGCUUCUUCUGCCGCAUGGUGGGAGGAGGAAAGGGGGGACCCGCUCGGGGAGGGGCUUGCGUCCCAUUAGCUAGUUGGUAGGGUAACGGCCUACCAAGGCUGCGAUGGGUAGCCGGCCUGAGAGGGUGUACGGCCACACUGGGACUGAGACACGGCCCAGACUCCUACGGGAGGCAGCAGUUGGGAAUCUUGGACAAUGGGGGAAACCCUGAUCCAGCGACGCCGCGUGGGGGAAGAAGGCCUUCGGGUUGUAAACCCCUGUCACCGGGGACGAAGUCCUCCGUGAGGAGGGUGACGGUACCCGGGGAGGAAGCCCCGGCUAACUACGUG
Molecule: ribosomal RNA, 491 nt
Filed under: uncultured organism
Description: bacterial SSU rRNA
Rfam family: Bacterial small subunit ribosomal RNA
Source: RNAcentral